RNAcentral lists this ribosomal RNA (429 nucleotides) under bacterium. Its description in RNAcentral is "partial 16S ribosomal RNA". It matches the Rfam family "Bacterial small subunit ribosomal RNA", at positions 355 to 776 of the family's 1533-position model. The record is from RNAcentral.
UAGGGAAUCUUCGGCAAUGGGGGCAACCCUGACCGAGCAACGCCGCGUGAGUGAAGAAGGUUUUCGGAUCGUAAAGCUCUGUUGUAAGAGAAGAACGUGUGUGAGAGUGGAAAGUUCACACAGUGACGGUAACUUACCAGAAAGGGACGGCUAACUACGUGCCAGCAGCCGAGGAAAUACGUAGGUCCCGAGCGUUGUCCGGAUUUAUUGGGCGUAAAGCGAGCGCAGGCGGUUUAAUAAGUCUGAAGUUAAAGGCAGUGGCUUAACCAUUGUUCGCUUUGGUAACUGUUAAACUUGAGUGCAGAAGGGGAGAGUGGAAUUCCAUGUGUAGCGGUGAAAUGCGUAGAUAUAUGGAGGAACACCGGUGGCGAAAGCGGCUCUCUGGUCUGUAACUGACGCUGAGGCUCGAACGCGUGGGGAGCAAACAGG